Molecule: ribosomal RNA, 505 nt
Filed under: uncultured Geobacter sp.
Lineage: Bacteria; Pseudomonadati; Thermodesulfobacteriota; Desulfuromonadia; Geobacterales; Geobacteraceae
Description: bacterial SSU rRNA
Rfam family: Bacterial small subunit ribosomal RNA
Source: RNAcentral
ACUCCUACGGGAGGCAGCAGUGGGGAAUUUUGCGCAAUGGGCGAAAGCCUGACGCAGCAACGCCGCGUGAGUGAUGAAGGCUUUCGGGUCGUAAAGCUCUGUCAGGGGGAAAGAAGUGUAUUGUGGCUAAUAUCCACGAUACUUGACGGUACCCCCAAAGGAAGCACCGGCUAACUCCGUGCCAGCAGCCGCGGUAAUACGGAGGGUGCAAGCGUUGUUCGGAAUUAUUGGGCGUAAAGCGCGUGUAGGCGGUUUGUUAAGUCUGAUGUGAAAGCCCCGGGCUCAACCCGGGAAGUGCAUUGGAAACUGGCAGACUUGAAUACGGGAGAGGGUAGUGGAAUUCCUAGUGUAGGAGUGAAAUCCGUAGAUAUUAGGAGGAACACCGGUGGCGAAGGCGGCUGCCUGGACCGAUAUUGACGCUGAGACGCGAAAGCGUGGGUAGCAAACAGGAUUAGAUACCCUGGUAGUCCACGCCGUAAACGAUGAGAACUAGGUGUCGCGGGUA